Columba livia (rock pigeon) is the source of this 1652-nucleotide long non-coding RNA. RefSeq lists it as uncharacterized. NCBI's taxonomy places the organism in Eukaryota, Metazoa, Chordata, Aves, Columbiformes, Columbidae. The record is from RefSeq and is a predicted model, not a curated record. The transcript has 3 exons.
CGUAUUUAUCUCAGUUUGCCCAGGCAAAGACCACCAAGCACCCUUAGGGCUGUGGGGUGAGCAGGACACAUGGGUCCCAGAAAGCAGGUGUGCGGUGAUGGGGCUCACUUGGAUGAAAGCAGCAACCAAGUCUACUGUGAGGCAGACACCUGGCCAGGGUUCAAAGCAAAUGACUGCAGCUGGGAGGUGAGGAAGGCUGAGGGUGCAGCUUAGCAAGAAGUGACUUGGCACCACGCAGACACCCAGGCUAAACUGCUGGUGCGCAGGGCGGUGGGGAGAUCAGAUGCUCACCCUGGAUCUACAACAGCACUUUGGGAAUCCAGAUGCGGAGCCUACAACAGGAUCUAGCUUGAUGACACCCCAUCCCCAAACACUGAGAGCAAAUCCCCUUUAUCCUAAGGAAACCGGUACCUAACACAAGGUGUGCCACAGAGAAAGCUGGAUGGGGAAGUGGCCCUUGGCUGCAGCUCCCAUGACCCCGCGAUUGUCCCACACUGUCCCUGGGGUGGCAAUGAGCUCAUUUUGCUGCGGUUACCCUCCUUGCUGCAUGCCAGGUGCUUUGUCAUGAGGCAAGCCGAGGAGUGGGAACAGGUUAUUCAAGGUCUGCAGGGCCCGGAGCAAGCACGGGUCAAAGACAGUCCUAGUUCUUCUCCUAACACCUGCUGAGCCUGACCUGCUGAGAACGCAUCCCACUCAUCACCUAUGUGUCGCAGCGGGCCUUCGUCUCCGCCAGACCCAGGGGCAGGCAGGUGCCUGGCCUUGCACUUUGGAAGCCAUUUACACCUCUUAAAAGGGAGUCCAGAAUAUAUUCCCACCUCUCCCUGAUCUAACCUGUCACCAGGAUGAUCAUUUCCAUCUGGGAACAAUGAGAUCUUUAUUCUACCGUGAGUGCUGGACCCUCCCUGUGCCGAGCGGACCAGCCUGCGGGGAGGAUGCACCACAGUACAGGCCCUCAUAGAGGUCGGUUCCUUCUCCGGGUGGGGGAGACAGUGAGGGACAGCAGUGUAAGACACACACCCAGCUCAGUGUCCUUGUUCCCCGUGGGAAAUGGAAAGCUUUUAGUGCCAGGAGGUCAAACUCCCCCAAUGCAUAGCCCCAGGAUGUACCACAAAACCUUUCUUCUCCAUUGGGGAAACCCCUGCACAUCCCCAGCCCCAGUGGUUAACCUGAAGUGCGGCCUCUGGGAUAGGCCAAACAAGCACACAGAGAGGUUCUGCACAUGAGGGUUUCUGCACAUGGGGGGUGUCUGUGCCUUCCAGUGCAUCACAUUCAGCAAGCCCCGUGGGGAGCGGGGCAAGCCAGAGCUCCUGUUGCAGGUUCCUGAGCUAGGGCAUGGCAGGGUGUGCUCUGUGCUCUGCUCUGCCUCUGCUCUGUGCUGCUCUCAGAGAGGAAGCUUUCUGGCAUUGCCCCUGAAACAGCGGCUCCCCAGGCCCUGUCCUGGGGCCUCUUGCUUCUCCAGACAGCACACACUCAGACCCCUGCACUCUGCCAGUGCCCAGACAGCAAAAGAAAGCCCUAAGCCUGUAUUUCUCAGGGCAACGUGGACUUUGCUGGUUAGACAGCCCAGCUACGGAGCCUGGGAGCUGGUUACCUGGGGACAAGCCCAAGAACAGAGAAGGACUUGAGGAGGAGAAGCCCCUCAACACCUGUUG